RNAcentral lists this ribosomal RNA (317 nucleotides) under Delftia tsuruhatensis. RNAcentral describes it as "partial 16S ribosomal RNA". It matches the Rfam family "Bacterial small subunit ribosomal RNA", at positions 121 to 438 of the family's 1533-position model. The record is from RNAcentral. Lineage: Bacteria; Pseudomonadati; Pseudomonadota; Betaproteobacteria; Burkholderiales; Comamonadaceae.
GGAACGNUGCCCAGUCGUGGGGGAUAACUACUCGAANCNUUAGNGUAAUACCGCAUACGAUCUGAGGAUGAAAGCGGGGGACCUUCGGGCCUCGCGCGAUUGGAGCGGCCGAUGGCNGAUUAGGUAGUUGGUGGGAUAAAAGCUUACCNAGCCGACGAUCUGUAGCUGGUCUGAGAGGACGACCAGCCACACUGGGACUGAGACACGGCCCAGACUCCUACGGGAGGCAGCAGUGGGGAAUUUUGGACAAUGGGCGAAAGCCUGAUCCAGCAAUGCCGCGUGCAGGAUGAAGGCCUUCNGGUUGUAAACUGCUUUUG